CCCUACGGGGUGCAGCAGGCGCGAAACCUCCGCAAUGCACGCAAGUGUGACGGGGGGACUCCGAGUGUUUUCUCGUAAAGAGAAAACUUUUUCCAAGUGUAAAUAGCUUGGCGAAUAAGAGCUGGGUAAGACGGGUGCCAGCCGCCGCGGUAAUACCCGCAGCUCGAGUGGUCUGGAGUAUUAUUGGGUCUAAAGCGUUCGUAGCCGGACCUGCAAGUUCUCUGUGAAAUCCGCCAGCUUAACUGUCGGGCGUGCAGGGGAUACUACAGGUCUUGGGACCGGGAUGGGCUGAGGGUACUCUCGGGGUAGGGGUGAAAUCCUAUAAUCCUGAGGGGACCACCUGUGGCUAAGGCGCUCAGCUAAAACGGGUCCGACGGUGAGGAACGAAAGCGUGGGGAGCGAAUGGGAUUAGAUACCCCAGUAGUCCACGCCGUAAAUGCUGCAAACUAGGUGUUGCAUGCCCCUCGUGGGUAUGCAGUGCCGAAGGGAAGCCGUUAAGUUUGCCACCUGGGAAGUACGGUCGCAAGGCUGAAACUUAAAGGAAUUGGCGGGGGAGCAC
RNAcentral lists this ribosomal RNA (559 nucleotides) under uncultured archaeon. Its description in RNAcentral is "bacterial SSU rRNA". It matches the Rfam family "Archaeal small subunit ribosomal RNA", at positions 321 to 879 of the family's 1478-position model. The record is from RNAcentral.